This 104-nucleotide small nuclear RNA is filed under the name Delphinapterus leucas (beluga whale). The record is from RNAcentral. Lineage: Eukaryota; Metazoa; Chordata; Mammalia; Artiodactyla; Monodontidae.
GUGCUUGCUUUGGCAGCACAUAUACUAAAAUUGGAACGAUACAGAGAUUAGGAUGGCCCCUGUGCAAGGAUGACACGCCAAUUCGUGAAGCAUUGCAUAUUUUU